UGGGGAAUUUUGCACAAUGGGGGCAACCCUGAUGCAGCGACGCCGCGUGAUUUAGAAGGCCUUCGGGUUGUAAAAAUCUUUUGUAUAGGAAGAAAAUGACAGUACUAUACGAAUAAGGUCCGGCUAAUUACGUGCCAGCAGCCGCGGUAAUACGUAAGGACCGAGCGUUGUCCGGAAUCAUUGGGCGUAAAGGGUACGUAGGCGGUUAAAAAAGUUAGAAGUGAAAGGCUAUAGCUCAACUAUAGUAAGCUUUUAAAACUGUUUAACUUGAGAGAUGGAAGGGAAAGUGGAAUUCCUAGUGUAGCGGAGAAAUGCGCAGAUAUUAGGAGGAAUACCGGUGGCGAAGGCGACUUUCUGGCCAUUAUCUGACGCUGAGGUACGAAAGCGUGGGUAGCAAACAGG
RNAcentral lists this ribosomal RNA (402 nucleotides) under Actinomycetes bacterium. RNAcentral's name for it is "Actinobacteria bacterium partial 16S ribosomal RNA". It matches the Rfam family "Bacterial small subunit ribosomal RNA", at positions 355 to 776 of the family's 1533-position model. Lineage: Bacteria; Bacillati; Actinomycetota; Actinomycetes. The record is from RNAcentral.